GCGGACGGGUAGAGUAACACGUGAGGAACCUGCCCUUCAGUGGGGAACAACACCGGGAAACCGGUGCUAAUACCGCAUAACGUCUCGGGGAGACAUCUUUCUGGGACCAAAGGAGAAAUCCGCUGAAGGAUGGCCUCGCGUCCGAUUAGCUAGUUGGCGGGGUAACGGCCCACCAAGGCUUCGAUCGGUAGCCGAACUGAGAGGUUGAUCGGCCACAUUGGGACUGAGACACGGCCCAGACUCCUACGGGAGGCAGCAGUGGGGAAUAUUGGGCAAUGGGGGAAACCCUGACCCAGCAACGCCGCGUGAAGGAUGAAGGCCUUCGGGUUGUAAACUUCUUUGACCGGGGACGAAACAAAUGACGGUACCCGGAAAACAAGCCACGGCUAACUACGUGCCAGCAGCCGCGGUAAUACGUAGGUGGCAAGCGUUGUCCGGAAUUACUGGGUGUAAAGGGCGUGUAGGCGGAUCUGCAAGUCGGAUGUGAAAUUCCCGGGCUCAACCCGGGCGCUGCAACCGAAACUGCGGAUCUUGAGUGUCGGAGAGGAAAGCGGAAUUCCCAGUGUAGCGGUAAAAUGCGUAGAGAUUGAGAGGAACACCGGUGGCGAAGGCGGCUUUCUGGACGACAACUGACGCUGAGGCG
RNAcentral lists this ribosomal RNA (643 nucleotides) under uncultured bacterium. RNAcentral's name for it is "bacterial SSU rRNA". It matches the Rfam family "Bacterial small subunit ribosomal RNA", at positions 98 to 753 of the family's 1533-position model. The record is from RNAcentral.